Molecule: unclassified non-coding RNA, 375 nt
Filed under: uncultured fungus
Lineage: Eukaryota; Fungi
Description: partial contains 5.8S ribosomal RNA and internal transcribed spacer 2
Rfam family: 5.8S ribosomal RNA (bases 1-133)
Source: RNAcentral
UGGCUCUCGCAUCGAUGAAGAACGCAGCGAAAUGCGAUAAGUAAUGUGAAUUGCAGAAUUCAGUGAAUCAUCGAAUCUUUGAACGCACCUUGCGCCCUCUGGUAUUCCGGAGGGCAUGCCUGUUUGAGUGUCUUGAUAUCAUCAAACCCCCCGGGUUCACGCCCGUCGCGGUUUGGAGUUGGGGGCUUGCUGCCGUGAGGCGGCUCCCCUUAAAAUCAUCGGUUUGGCUCGCAUCAUGCGGCUUGCACCUUUGGCGUUGUAUUUUCCUCGCCUUCGAUCGGUCUUGCUCGUUACCGCGCCUCACUCUGACUUGCCCUUUGGGUGGCGGUCACUUCUUGACAAUCUGGCCUCAAAUCAGGUAGGACUACCCGCUGA